This 485-nucleotide ribosomal RNA is filed under the name uncultured bacterium. RNAcentral's name for it is "bacterial SSU rRNA". It matches the Rfam family "Bacterial small subunit ribosomal RNA", at positions 327 to 800 of the family's 1533-position model. The record is from RNAcentral.
GCUGUGGAACUCCUACGGGAGGCAGCAGUGGGGAAUUUUGGACAAUGGGGGCAACCCUGAUCCAGCAAUGCCGCGUGAGUGAAGAAGGCCUUCGGGUUGUAAAGCUCUUUUGUCAGGGAAGAAACGGUAGUAGCUAAUAUCUAUUACUAAUGACGGUACCUGAAGAAUAAGCACCGGCUAACUACGUGCCAGCAGCCGCGGUAAUACAGAGGGUGCAAGCGUUAAUCGGAAUUACUGGGCGUAAAGCGCACGUAGGCGGUUUUUUAAGUCAGAUGUGAAAGCCCCGGGCUCAACCUGGGAAUUGCGUUUGAAACUGGAAAACUAGAGUGUGUGAGAGGGGGGUAGAAUUCCAAGUGUAGCGGUGAAAUGCGUAGAGAUUUGGAGGAAUACCAGUGGCGAAGGCGGCCCCCUGGCACAACACUGACGCUCAUGCACGAAAGCGUGGGGAGCAAACAGGAUUAGAAACCCCAGUAGUCCUACCACGU